RNAcentral lists this transfer RNA (65 nucleotides) under Furcilarnaca chirurga. RNAcentral describes it as "tRNA-Cys". Lineage: Eukaryota; Metazoa; Arthropoda; Insecta; Orthoptera; Gryllacrididae. The record is from RNAcentral.
AAUCUUAUAUUCAAAAUAAUGAUUUUAGACUGCAAUUCUAAAGGUGUAAAAUAUUACUAAGGUUU